UCAAUGGGGCUGUACCAGUGGAGGGCACAUGCCCCAUCAUGGUGUUGAGUACCAAGCAGGUGUGCACAGAUAGACAGGUGGCCAAGUAUGGGGCACACAAUACAGUGAAGAUGACCGAGUUGGAGAGGAUAAAGAUUAGGGGUGGAGGAGGAGAUGACUAGAGCUAAGGAAAUGAAAUGAAGACUGACUGAAGUGGUUGAACAUUCUGAAAAACUUAAUACCACAUCUUUCAGGCCAUGUUCUAUCAAUCCUUAUUGACCGAUUGAUUUUAAAAAUAUGGAUUAUGGACUGCAGUGCCAAAGAACCCUCACUGAUCAAUUUGUUUUUUUCACAGGUUCAUGCUCAUGAUGUUUCUAUGGAGUAUGGCCCCUAGCUUAAUAACAUAUAGAUCUAGUCACUACAAUGAUAUUAAAAUUAAGGUGGGUUCAAAUGAUGAAGAACGCUUGCCAUCCAAAUUCUACUUCACUGUCAUUCCUUGAUUCCACAUUUCUUUCAUGUAUACUUUCAGCAGCUCAAAUGAGAAAGAAUGGAUGUAAAUUUUCAAAACCCUGAAUAAGUAUGUGACAAGCUUCAGUUCCACCACGGGAGAAGCAAGUAUUAAG
Molecule: long non-coding RNA, 602 nt
Filed under: Elaeis guineensis (African oil palm)
Lineage: Eukaryota; Viridiplantae; Streptophyta; Magnoliopsida; Arecales; Arecaceae
Description: long non-coding RNA (EGUI_LNC013663)
Source: RNAcentral